This 79-nucleotide transfer RNA is filed under the name Pandoraea sp. LA3. RNAcentral's name for it is "tRNA-Met". Lineage: Bacteria; Pseudomonadati; Pseudomonadota; Betaproteobacteria; Burkholderiales; Burkholderiaceae. RNAcentral also lists the same sequence under 1 other name. The record is from RNAcentral.
GGGCCUCUAGCUCAUGCCUGGUUAGAGUCACGAACUCAUAACUUAUGGGUGCCGCGUUCGAUUCGCGGGAUGCCCAUCA